UUGGUGAGGUUGUGUUAUGUGGUGUGGGUGGUUUGUUCUUAUUUUGUAAUGAAUUUUGCUGUUGCUGAACGUUUGGAUCAACAGUGCCUUUGUGAGCAGUAACACUCACUGCGAAGGUUUGCAGUUUCAUUAAUGAAACCAGUGAGAUUGUAAACCGACUGGGAGCAACUAAUAAUGUGUCGCCCUAACAGCUGGGACGCCCACUACAAAGGUCUGUAGCUUCAGUCGUGAGCUAGUAAACCACGAACCCACUAGAAGCGAAACACUGAACGCAGCUGGGCAUGAGAAGGGAGAAACGCUGGUGGAAACGCUGCCUCUAAGAACUGUAACACCGUGAGGUUCCGUAGCUUCAUUUUUGAAGUCUAGACCAAGAACCCGCUAAUUCUGGUCACACUAGCACUUUGGGAGGCCAAGGUGUGUGGAUUACUUGAGGCCGGGAGUUCAAGACCAGCUUGGCCAGCAUGGUCAAGUGUGGAAACAGCAAGAAGGCUGCUGUCUGCAAGCCAAGAAGAGAGCCCUCGCCAGAAACCAAUUUAUCCAGAUGCUGGAUAUUGGAUUUCCAGCCUCCAGAAUGAUAUGGCUAAGACCGCAGGCAUGGUGGCAUGCAGCCGGUAGUCUCAGCUACUUGGAAGGCUGGAGCAGGAGGACCACUUGAACCCAGGAGAUCAAGACUGCAGUGAGUUAUGAUGGCACCACUGCACUCCAGCCUGGGCAAAAAAGCAAGACAUCAUCUCUAAAAGCUAAUUAUAUAAAAAGAAAAGAAAGAAAUGGCAAAGACACCCAGAAGCCACACUUCCAUAAGUUCCUUUCCCAUAAUACAAGACUUGAGUAACCUCACAUUUCCUCCUUUCAGUGUGUGUUCUGGUAAAUGUGGAUGCUAAAUAACCAGGAUGAGGGAAGCAGGAAGUAUCUGGAGACAGAGCAUUCUCUCUGGUCUGAGGGCCACCUGUGCUGUGUAUGCAGCUGGCUGCCUUUAAAGAAAAGCACAUUUAUAAAAGGCUUUCCUCAGCUAGAGAUAGUCUGGGAAGGUGUGCUGAUGGACCACAAAGACCCGAGAAUCAUUUUGGAGACACCCACCUCCACAAUGUCAAAAUGUAAAGGAGAGGGCUGGAGAGGAGGUAACCCUUUAACUUGGGGAGAUAAAGGUUAUGGACAGAGGCACAGCACAUUGGGGGAAGCAGGGAAUAACUAGGACAUCUUAGCAAGGACACGCAUUAUUGGAGAAGACCAAAAUGGGGAUGUGUGAGUAAAAGAGCGCCACCACAGAGGCUUAUCAUCUUUAAUUUCACUCAGCAGCUUCCCAACAGGGAACACCCAGCAGGAUGGCAGGCAGAUGGCACAGGGGGUCACUACAGCCACAAAGAAUAACAUAUUUAUAUAAUUCUCGUAUGAAAAAUGCAUGUUAUAGUAAUAAUUCGGCUAGAGAGUGAGAUAAAAAUCCCAGACAGUGCCAACAAAAAUGGACAGAGGAAUGGAGAGAAGGGGUAGCCAGGUGAGAAAAAAAGAUGUUCAUUUCUUAAUUUUCUCAAGAGUGAUGAAAAAAAUCAAGAAAUACUUUUGUUUCUGAAGUUGAUAAUAUACUAAUUCCUAUACUUCUCUAUUUAAAGAUAUAAGGGUAACCACCAAAAGACAGACCGUCUCCCAAAAAAGAGCAAAAAGAGAAGGGGCAAAAGAAAAAAAAAAAAAAAAGAGUGCCAAAACCACAGGCAAUGUAGUGAAAGAUUUUUUUUUUAAGUGCUGCAAUAUCAAACAUCUGUUAAAAGGGAAAAACCCAAAUUGGGCCAAAAGGGGGAAAAAAAUGACAAGAAAUCUAACAAGAUAUUUUAUAUAAGAGGCAUACCUAAAACAGACUUGAGAAAAAUUGAAAAUGAAAGUUUGGGCAGUGAAAUAUCAUAAUGUAAAGCAAAUGUAAGUUUUAAAAGCCAAGGGACUAGAUAUAAAAUUCAAUUUUCAUGUUAAGGUAAAGAUCAUCACACAAAUGGUGUCACUCCGCAUAUUAGGAGACAAGCUGGGGUGGGGGAAGUCCGUGACAUUUAGACUCCAAAGUGUUAAUUUCUCUAACAUGUGAAUAUCUUAUGCAGUCAAGCAAGAGGGACACAACUCAACAGAAAAAUUAGAAAGAGGAUAUCAAAGUCACAGAACACAGAUAGCAAUAAACAUUUCAAGAGGUAUUUGCCCUCAAUAAUAGAUAAAUGCCUCCCUGCCCUAUUAGAUUGGCUAAUCAUACACAGACAAAUGUAGAGUAGCAAGAACACCCACCACAAUAACGAAAAGUGUAAAUUCAUGCAGACUUUAGGUAACUUGCUAUUAACAUUUUUUAGUGUUAUAUCCUUUAAUCCAGCCCUUCCACAUCCAGAAUUAUAUUCUUGGGGAAAAAAGCAACACUCAGACAAAUGCUUGAAGAUAGGCUGGAGUACAAUGGCACAAUCAUGGCUCAUUGCAGCCUCAAACUCCCGGACUCAAGUGAUCGUCCCGCCUCAGUCUCCCAAGUAGCUGGGACUACACGUGUGAGCCAUCUUGCCCAGACCGUAAGUGGACAAUUUUUUAAACAAAGGUCUCCUUAUGCAGAAGCAAGCAAACAGCAAACCAGUAUGUACUACAUAGUUCAUUCUUGCCCAAAUCAUCCCCUAACCACCAAAACAGAAAGAUG
Long non-coding RNA from Gorilla gorilla gorilla (western lowland gorilla), 2650 nucleotides. RefSeq lists it as uncharacterized. Lineage: Eukaryota; Metazoa; Chordata; Mammalia; Primates; Hominidae. The transcript has 4 exons. The record is from RefSeq and is a predicted model, not a curated record.